UAUAAAGAAUGUGCUUUUUUUAGCAGCUUAGAAUUUAAGACAAAUGCAUCCCCAAAUCUGUUUCCUGGUUUCCUUUCACUCUCAAGGGUAGACCUUCCUUCUAGUGCAGACAAUCAGAAAAUAAUAUGAACCUUCACAGGAACUUGGAAAUAUCUGAUGAUGCUCUCAUAUGAUGGCUCAGAUGCUUACUCUCAGUCUAAACAAAAUAUCUUCUGGGAAAAAAAAAAAGACCACUGCUCUGCUAGGUCAUGGAUGACAGUAUGUGUUUCAACAUCUUUUGAAAGAAAGAAGGGGAGGAGCUCUGAAGGUACCUUGCUGCAUUUGCAAUCAUAUAUGCAGCUCAUGACCUUGGCCAAGUGAAAAUUUAAAUGUCAGUGAAACAAAAAAUCUAUGUUUCAACACUGAUGAUGAGAAGCUCCUUUCUCUAGCUGAAAUAGAAUGGACUGGUUGACUGGAUUCCACUCAUUCUGUAAUAUUACAUCUGAAUCUCUUCUGGAUCAUGAAGUGAAGGUGUUUUUUUGCAAGAGGAUAUCCUGGACACCAUCCCCACUGCUGACAAAGUUUAAUCCAGAAGUAGGUCAAAUCCAGAUGACGAACUAUUGCUGUCAGAGCACCUGCUUGAAGAUCCAGGACUGCAGGAGUACAUUUCUAAAGGGAUGUGGGGGACAAUAGUUUCCAGAAUGCAUGUUCUCAGAUUCCCAAUGCCAUGCAGCUGGAGUAGGAAAAUUGUGCACUCCAUUUCCAUUCCAUCAUGUGUUGUGCUUCAGCUGUAUUUCUGUGCAAAGCUGUGAAGAGUGCGUGGUGAGAGACAGGAGAUGUUUUAACUGAGAUUUUGAGAGCUUUUAUUCUUGCCGAAUUUGAACUAAGUGGAAGCUAAUAGACCAACCAAGCCUAAAGAUCCCGUUGCUAAAUAAAACAUACAAAGCUUGAAGUUAAUAGCUAUUUUUAUAGAACAUGUUGCUACUAAAAGAAAUAGUGGAUUCUUUUAACUAAUUCUCUAACCUUUAUUUUAGGAAUUGAAGAAGAUUCUUCCUUUUAAAACAAUGUUUAGCCUUCAACAAAUUUCCUUCAUGCCACUGGGACCUGAUAGGUGCUUAGCAUGCAGAAUGAGCAGGUGAUUUAUUCAGGCGCUUGAAACUAUAAUCCUGUAAAGAUUUAUUGCUUCAAAAUCAACUUUAAGACUUCAUUGUGCAUUCUGAAGCCUAGUUUCUAAGUUUUUGCUUUCAGUGUGUUGGUGUUUUGGUUAAUCAAUUGGUUUAACUUACCUUUACUGCCAGUUUGCGACAUUUAAUGCAUAUAAGAUAGUCCCUAAUAAAUAACUGCAAUUUUAUUAGCUGAAUAGUUAGAAGGACAUGACUGAUAAGUAAGAUGUCACAUAAAUCAGUACCAAAAAUGACCAGCUCUGGAGGCCAAAGAUAGCAAACCCUUAAAUCUCUGCAUCUUCUAUAGAUUUAUUUAUAAAUCAAUGCACAAAUCACAGCUGGGAAGUUAGAUUCAAGAGUAAUUAACUUUAGAUCAAACUGUCUUGAUACGCUGUAAAACAGCCAGAACUUUGUGAACAUAAUUAACUUGCAUAUUGUUUUGUAUUUUACCACAGCAUGAACUAGUUUGAAAAAAGGUUUCUUCGUGCAAGAAGUUGUCACUUAUGUUAGAGUGGUGAAGUAACACAACAAUUGAGGGUAACUGCACAAUGAACAUAGAAAUGUGACCAUAUCUCUAAAUAGUUAUACAGCAAUAUUAUUUAUUUUUGUACUAGACAUUUUUCCUUCAUUUUCAUAUGUGUUUUUCUGAAUGUCACUAACAAAGCAGAAAUUCUUAGUACAGAGGUGGUCUUUACUGCGGCUGUUCUUUUCCUUGCUGUUGAUCUCUUUUCUUCGCAAACUCCACUUUAAAAA
Molecule: long non-coding RNA, 1895 nt
Organism: Serinus canaria (Common canary)
Lineage: Eukaryota; Metazoa; Chordata; Aves; Passeriformes; Fringillidae
Exons: 6
Source: RefSeq, a predicted model, not a curated record